AGGAGGUGAGGUCGCUGCUGUGAUCUCCUUCUGGUCAACUGUCCCUGCUCCGCAGAGAGCAGACCUGCCCCUCAUCUCCCAGCCCUGCAUCUGGCAUGUUUUCUCAACACCUCAGUGAAACAAGAAAGAACCAAGCCUGCCAGAAUCAAGACACUGAAAGCUCCUGCAGAGGGCAAGAGGCACUCCAGGAACAUCAUGGGGACACACUGCCUGCCACAUCCUCCCAGGUCCCUGAGCCCCACCACAAGCCAACCUUGGGACCCAAGCCUGCCCAGCCUCUAGAGAUGUGAUACCAACCAAGCGCAGCACUGCCGAUUUGCCAUGUUGUGACCGUUGUCAGUGGACAUCACG
Molecule: long non-coding RNA, 351 nt
Filed under: Capra hircus (goat)
Lineage: Eukaryota; Metazoa; Chordata; Mammalia; Artiodactyla; Bovidae
Description: lncRNA (ENSCHIG00000005369.1)
Source: RNAcentral